ACGCUGGCGGCAUGCCUAAUACAUGCAAAUCGAACGAAGCCUUUUAGGCUUAGUGGUGAACGGGUGAGUAACACGUAUCCAAUCUACCCUUAAGUUGGGGAUAACUAGUCGAAAGAUUAGCUAAUACCGAAUAAUAACAUCAAUAUCGCAUGAGAAGAUGUAGAAAGUCGCUCUUUGUGGCGACGCUUUUGGAUGAGGGUGCGACGUAUCAGAUAGUUGGUGAGAUAAUGGCUCACCAAGUCAAUGACGCGUAGCUGUACUGAGAGGUAGAACAGCCACAAUGGGACUGAGACACGGCCCAUACUCCUACGGGAGGCAGCAGUAGGGAAUUUUUCACAAUGGGCGCAAGCCUUAUGAAGCAAUGCCGCGUGAACGAUGAAGGUCUUAUAGAUUGUAAAGUUCUUUUAUAUGGGAAGAAACGCUAAAAUAGGAAAUGAUUUUAGUUUGACUGUACCAUUUGAAUAAGUAUCGGCUAACUAUGUGCCAGCAGCCGCGGUAAUACAUAGGAUGCAAGCGUUAUCCGGAUUUACUGGGCGUAAAACGAGCGCAGGCGGGUUUGUAAGUUUGGUAUUAAAUCUAGAUGCUUAACGUCUAGCUGUAUCAAAAACUGUAAACCUAGAGUGUAGUAGGGAGUUGGGGAACUCCAUGUGGAGCGGUAAAAUGCGUAGAUAUAUGGAAGAACACCGGUGGCGAAGGCGCCAACUUGGACUAUCACUGACGCUUAGGCUCGAAAGUGUG
Molecule: ribosomal RNA, 738 nt
Filed under: uncultured Ureaplasma sp.
Lineage: Bacteria; Bacillati; Mycoplasmatota; Mycoplasmoidales; Mycoplasmoidaceae
Description: bacterial SSU rRNA
Rfam family: Bacterial small subunit ribosomal RNA
Source: RNAcentral